RNAcentral lists this ribosomal RNA (753 nucleotides) under uncultured bacterium. Its description in RNAcentral is "bacterial SSU rRNA". It matches the Rfam family "Bacterial small subunit ribosomal RNA", at positions 10 to 796 of the family's 1533-position model. The record is from RNAcentral.
AGUUUGAUCCUGGCUCAGGACGAACGCUGGCGGCGUGCUUCAUACAUGCAAGUCGAACGAAAGUUACCUUCGGGUGAUGGAAAGUGGCGGACGGGUGAGUAAAAUGUAGGAAAUCUGCCCAGAGAGGGGGACAACAGAGGGAAACUUCUGCUAAUACCCCAUAUGAGCGUACCUGAAAUGUAUUCUUGAAAACUCCGGUGCUCUAGGAUGAGCCUGCAUCUGAUUAGCUAGUUGGGGGUGAAUGGACCACCAAGGCGACGAUCAGUAGCUGGUUUGAGAGGAUGAUCAGCCACAAUGGGAUGAGACACGGCCCAUACUCCUACGGGAGGCAGCAGUAGGGAAUUUUGCGCAAUGGGCGAAGCCUGACGCAGCAACGCCGCGUGAUUGAUGAAGCCCUUCGGGGUGUAAAGAUCUGUCAGUGGGACGAAACUUGACGGUACCCACAGAGGAAGCAUCGGCUAACUCCGUGCCAGCAGCCGCGUAAUACGGGGGAUGCAAGCGUUGUCCGGAAUCAUUGGGCGUAAAGAGUUCGUAGGUGGUUAUUAAGUCUGGUGUUAAAUGCAGGGGCUCAACUCCUGUUCGGCACUGGAUACUGGUAGAUUGAAUGCGGUAGAGGUAAAGGGAAUUCCUGGUGUAGCGGUGAAAUGCGUAGAUAUCAGGGGAACAUCGGUGGCGAAAGCGCUUUACUGGGCCGUAAUUGACACUGAGGAACGAAAGCCAGGUAGCAAAUGGGAUUAGAUACCCCAGUAGUCC